AAAAAAUGGCAUUGAAAGAAAAAGUCCCAAGUGUGAAAAAAAUUUUCUCAGAAAUUUUGAUUAGACCUCAAAAGACUGAGCAGAUGUAUCGAUUUCAUCCUAAAUUACUGAAAGUCGUUAUUGAAAUUAUUGAAAUAAAUAUUAUGUGAUAAAAAUACAGCUUGGAAGAAAUCCAGCCCACACAAGGACAAAAACAUUUUCUGUGGUAAAUGAUAGAGGCAGUUAGUUACAUUAGAAGAGAGACCUCACCAAUAUCAGCCCUGUAGUGGGCCCCAGGAAAAUGAUUUGGUCCCUAGUCCUUGCUUUUCUUGAGAUAGAUACAUUUUUGGAAGGACCAAAGAACCAAUUAUAUUUGUGUUAACUUAGUACCCAAUGUCCUAUUCUAGCAUAUUAACCGAAGGCCUUCAGGUUAUGUGAAACAAAAGAAUUUUGUGAGUGUUCACCUGGGCUUCAGGACAUGGGAGGUUCCAGGCAACCAGAACAGCCUGACGCACACUGAAGGAGCAAUCAGACUGGGUUUGGUCUCAAAUCUGUGACUUCAGGCAAGUUACAGAUUUCUCCAAACUCCAGUUUUCUCAUCUGCAAAAUGGUGAUGAUGAUAUCUGUCUUGUUAUCUUACUAGGUUGUUAGAAGGACUGAAUGAGAUGAAGUAGAGGAAAGUCUUCUAGGACAGGGGUCCUCAACCCUUGGGCCACAGACUGGUGGCAGGAGGGCUGCACAGCAGGUGAGCAGUGGGUGAGUGAGCAAAGCUUCCUCUGUUCACAGCCUCUCACCGUCACUCACACUACCACCUGAGCUCUGCCUCCUGUCAGAUCAGCAGCAGCAUUAGAUUCUCACGUGAGUGUGAACCCUAUUGUGAACUGCAUAUGCGAGGGAUCUAGGUUGCAUGUUCCUUAUGAGAAUCUAAUGCCUGAUGAUCUGUCAUUGUCUCCCAUCACCCCCAGAUGGGAUGCCUGGUUGCAAGAAAACAAGCUCAGGGCUCCCACAGAUUCUACGUGAUGCAGUUUUCACAGAUUUGUGGCCAGAUGCUAGAGACAAAGGCUGAGAAGUUGUCCAGGACGUCAUAUUCUUGCUUUGCUGGAGGCAGAUCUGAAGGAUGUCAUCUCUCCUGUGGCUUCUUCUAGUGUGGGGUCCCGAAGCCUGGCUUCCCCAGCCGAUGUGCUGCUUUAGUCAGCGUCUGCCCUGGUCCUUCGGUUCGCAGGCUCACACGCUUUUUUGGGUUGUGUCCCUUUGGACUGCAGAGGCUACGUGUCCUGUGACCAACCACGAAGGCGGCCACUCCCGCUCCCCUCAGGAGUGUCUUAAAAUACCUCCAUUUUAGCUACCCUAUUGAAUGACAGGUUAGCUGGGUGCUGGGUUUUCAGGUGAUGGACAUUUUCCCUCAGUCCUCUGAAGGUGUUGCUGGCUUCAGGCAUUGAUGCCGCCACUCUGAUUGUUGUAUGCAGUGAGCAAACUAGAAUUUUCUCUUGGCUUUCUAGAUUUUCUUCUUUAUAUUCUGAAACUUUAUUA
Molecule: long non-coding RNA, 1509 nt
Filed under: Homo sapiens (human)
Lineage: Eukaryota; Metazoa; Chordata; Mammalia; Primates; Hominidae
Description: PREDICTED lncRNA (TCONS_00217102)
Source: RNAcentral